CAAAGGUUGUAUCUUUCAGCACUUUGUUAUUGGGCGUGCCUACUUACUAAUUCUAUUUGAUAAGUCAACCUGGGAAACUGCGGAAUGGUGCUGAAUGAAGUUGUUAAUAUGAUUUCUUUUGUGUUUGCUACUGAUAUAUCUCUAAACUUGCAUUUCUCUGCUAUGUUUGUCUGUCAGAGCUGUUGCUGGAUAAGGCUGACGUGCACCAAUGUAAACUUCAGAUUGAGCUUACAACACGGAUUGUUCCCUCCAGCUGUUCGAUUUGCACAUGCGACAAUCGAAGUGUGCCUAUGUUUGGCUGCCCCGUUCACAGAUAUACAGGUUGAAUUCUUCGUUCUUUAUUAUAGGCCGGUUCAUGUGCUUUGACUUGUGAUCUGGGUCGGCGCAUCUAUUAUUUUCGGUCGCAAAUGUGCGCUAGCUCAUGCCUCUCUUGGGUGAUAUAAUCUUUUUGGGGUUUCUCAUAAACUGCAGUGUAUGUAUUAUGCAGAUGAACAAAAACCAUUCAGGUUCCGCAUCCACCCAUCAGGUUCUCUAUUAUACUGCAGGAGGAAAUCCUUUCUUAUUGACCCUUCAAGCGGUAGUCUUUUAGAGGCAGCUUUUGUGCUUUUCCCUUCCGCUGGAACUGCAUGCAGAGUUUGAGUUCAUGGAGUGCCUUUGGCCUUCAGAAAGAAGAAGAAUAAAUGUUUCGUCGUUGAUCUUUCUUAUGUUCCUAGGUGCAUUGUUUUAGGUUAUGCCCUCAUAUGCAGAGAUGGAAAAUCACACAUUUUGCAUCCAGCUUUCAAUGGGAAUAAAUUGAAUUUUGUUUUGAAGCUUGCCGAUGAAUCAAGAAUAUAUCUCUGAAAGCUGCUUCUUUUUUGCAAAAAAAAAGAAGCUGAUUUAAGCAUCAUUGCAAUUCAAAACCUACACAGUAUUUAUUUCUGCAUUUAUUUGAAGAUGAGAAUAUACUGACUUCAAUAUCGAGUGUCGAUCCAUUGUUUUCUGCAGGUAAGUAUUAUUUUUUAUUUCCUAAAAAGGAUUUGAAUAUCAUUUU
Long non-coding RNA from Aegilops tauschii subsp. strangulata, 1030 nucleotides. RefSeq lists it as uncharacterized. NCBI's taxonomy places the organism in Eukaryota, Viridiplantae, Streptophyta, Magnoliopsida, Poales, Poaceae. The record is from RefSeq and is a predicted model, not a curated record.